This 468-nucleotide ribosomal RNA is filed under the name uncultured bacterium. RNAcentral describes it as "partial 16S ribosomal RNA". It matches the Rfam family "Bacterial small subunit ribosomal RNA", at positions 28 to 507 of the family's 1533-position model. The record is from RNAcentral.
GACGAACGCUGGCGGCGUGCUUAACACAUGCAAGUCGAACGGAAAGGCCCUGCUUUUGUGGGGUGCUCGAGUGGCGAACGGGUGAGUAACACGUGAGUAACCUGCCCUUGACUUUGGGAUAACUUCAGGAAACUGGGGCUAAUACCGGAUAGGAGCUCCUGCUGCAUGGUGGGGGUUGGAAAGUUUCGGCGGUUGGGAAUGGACUCGCGGCUUAUCAGCUUGUUGGUGGGGUAGUGUCUUACCAAGGCUUUGACGGGUAGCCGGCCUGAGCGGGUGACUGGCCACACUGGGACUGAGAUACGGCCCAGACCCCUACGGUAGGCAGCAGUGGGGAAGAGUGUACAAUGGGCGGAAGCAUGAUGCAGCAACGCCGCGUGCGGGAUGACGGCCUUCGGGUUGUAAACCGCUUUCGCCUGUGACGAAGCGUGAGUGACGGUAAUGGGUAAAGAAGCACCGGCUAACUACGUG